Long non-coding RNA from Dreissena polymorpha, 3583 nucleotides. RefSeq lists it as uncharacterized. The transcript has 6 exons. Lineage: Eukaryota; Metazoa; Mollusca; Bivalvia; Myida; Dreissenidae. The record is from RefSeq and is a predicted model, not a curated record.
UCGUCUGAUAAUGCUGACGUACCGGCGUUCGCGGAAGAAACGUGUCUGUGUUAUUUUAAUUAUAGAAUACAAAUAAUUAUGGGAUAAUAAAGUGAUCAGCCUAAAUUAACUAAACAUCAUGCCAAUGAUCCGGAAGCUUCUAUUAAAACUGUGUACAGGGGGAAAAGCCGGCGAACAGUAGGCCUACAUGUCACCGAGAAGUGGGGCAGUAGGCAAAAGCUUGGAACGCAAUCACAAGAACUUGCAGAAGUUCAGAUUGAGAAUGAGAAACCAGAAACAAACUUAAUUGCUAACUGUACUACAAAAAGCAGUUCAGUAUCAGACGUAGAUACUUCGGUUACAUUUGAUGAAAAUAUAAGAUACGAUACUGAAAAGGCCAAACGUCUUGAAGAAUGGAAAAGUAUAUCUCCAGAAAUUAUGUCUGCUUAUGUACAAAUGCAGACACCCAAUAAGCGACAAUGUGCUGAUUGUUGUCUCUCCACAGAUGAACUGUACAGGUGUUGUGAUUGCUGUUCAUGGGAGACUACGUGCCUCACAUGCUUGCGGUUGAGGCAUAAACAUCCUCAUCUGCAUUUGUAAGAACAUGGCUUACCUUUCUUUCAUUGAUGAUGAUGAGGCUUGGAAAUUGAAUGACCAUUCCUGUAGCACUACUUACCUGAAAAAACUCGUGGUCGUGGAUGAUAAAGGUCGACAGCAUUUGAAGACCCUGCAAUUUUGCAAGUGUGAAGUUGAAGCUGUACGCUUGAUUAGGUUCAACCUGUGGCCAUCUUCAACCAAAUUUCCAAACGUGGCAUUUCACUUUGACUUCAUGCGCUGGUUAUGUGGUCUUCUUCUUGAAAGCUCGGUGUCAUUUAAAAGUUUCUGCUCCGCAUUAGACGCGUGGACAUCAAAGCACAUGAAGACAUAUAUUCAUCACCCUGUCAAAGAUUUGUACAAAGUGCUUGUAGGAGGAACAGCCGAUGAAUUUCGACAUUUUAUCUACCAAAUGGAAAACAUCCACGAUGAUGGAUCCAAAUGUCCAGCUUGUUAUGAGGAUCCUCCCUCCCUGAUAAGCUUGCUAGAGCAGAGGAUAUAGAAAAAAAAAGCAAGGAGGCUCUUCAAGAAAUUUUGGAACCUUUUGCAGGUAAGAAAACAUGGACAAAUGCAGAUUUUCUACAAGUGUUUGUGUCAUUAUAUAAAAAUACCAUCCCAUAUUUGUUUUGCAGUUUCCAGUGUUUAAUUAAAUGAUGCACAUGUCAAUACCAGUUGUGAGAUGAACACCUUUAAUUGCUGGCUUGACAGAAUUCGACUGAUUGCCAUCUCAGAAAAUAUUGUCCCAAUAUUAAAAAAAACAAAAUGUUUGUGCAUAACAAUAUAGAAUUGAAAGACUUUAUGUUAAAUCAGAAGAAACAAAACUAUAAAUGUCCCGAUAACAAAAUGAACCAUUUAAAUAAUGUAGAUGAAUUUAAAAUAAUUAUUGUUUUUCUCUGUGUAAGUUUUCUCCCCACAAAUUUUGUUAGUGGAGCCCAAAUUAGGUCAUCCCGCUAGGAAAUUUCGCAGCGAGUAAAGUCGAGAUAUAUAUAGAGCGAAUAUAACUAUGAAAUAAACGCCAGUAUCUUUCUUGCUGGGGGGGGGGACUUAUUGUUUGCGCUCCGUGUGUCAGUCUGUCUGCGUGUGUCAGUCUGUCUGUCAGUCCGUCACACUUUUCUGGAUCCUGCGAUAACUUCAAAGUUCUUCAUAUUUUUUUAUGAAACUUGAAACGUGGACAGAUGGCUUAUAUGGAGAUUAUGCACGUCAAUUCAUUUUGUUCCUAUGUCAAAAAUUGUGGUUGCUAUGGCAACAAAUGUAAAAAAAAAAUUAAAAAAAAUUACUGACUGGUGGAGUUUUACCGGUAGGGGACCAUAUUGCUUGGCAAUCUCUUGUUCCAUAUAUACUGAAGUUGUUAUCCCCCGCCAUAGGCAGAGGGAUAUUGUUUUGGCAUUUUCCGUCCGUCCGUCCGGAGCCAUAUCUUGGAAGUGCUUUAUCGGAUUUCAUUGAAACUUGGUAUGUGUAUAAAUAUGGAUAAGAGGAUGAUGCACGCCAAAUGGAAUUGUACACAAUCUGUUAAUAACGGAGUUAUGGCCCUUUGUAUCUUGAAAAAAUGCUUUUUUGUGUGUCCGGAGCCAUAUUUUGGAAGUGCUUUGGCCGAUAUCAUUGAAACUUGGUAUGAGUAUAUAUAUAUAUAUAUAUAUAUUAUAUAUAUAUGGAUAAGAGGAUGAUGCAUGUCAAAUGGUGAUGAUGAUGCAUGUACACCAUCUGUUAAUAAAGGAGUUAUUGCCCUUUUUAUCUUGGAAAAAAAUGCUUUUUUGAUUGUCAAAUAUAACACUUGUGUCCAGAAGCAUAUUGGCUGGGGGAUAUCAAUUCAACGAAUUUGCUCGUUAUAAACUCACAUUUCAAUGACAAUUUAUGAUAUCUGUUUUCCAGCUGUAUACUGUAUCAUAUGUAAAUCAUGAUUGUGUUGGUAUGCUUGUUCCUUUUUGUUUUUAAAUGCCCCAUGCUACAAAACAAAUUGAAUUGUUCAUGCUUAUAUACUUUUGCCUCAAGUAUUCUCAUAAGGUCAUUUGAAAUGAUGAAACAGUUGCUAUUUUACGAGAACAAUGAUCAGAAUAGAUCAUCUAUAAUUUUGUUGUGUAAAGAGGAUCGAUAAUUGGUUAAUUCUAACUUGUACUAAUACUCAUACCAAUAUUAAAACAUACAUUAUUCCAAAGGAUAAACCAUUCUAGAAUUUACAGAGAAAACUAUUCCUUAUAGAUUCAUCUAUAAUUUCUUUGCGUAUAGGUGGUCGUAUACAGAAAUAAUUAAACUAACAAUCAUGUUCAGGUUGCUAUUAUCAUAAAUAUAUAUAUAAACUGACAAUCAUGUUCAGAUUACUAUUAUCACAGAUACAUGCAUAUAUAUAACAAUUUUAAAAGCAAUUGAUAUAUAUGUCUCAAAAGCUAUGUCCUUUUUACGUCCCAGUCUAUACUUGGGGACAUAUUAUAUUUGCCCUGUCUGUUUGUUGGUUUGUUUGCGUCAAACUUUAACAUUGGCCAUAACUUUUGCAAUAUUGAAGAUAGCAACUUGAUAUUUGGCAUGCAUGUGUAUCUCAUGGAGCUGCACAUUUUGAGUGGUGAUAGGUCAAGGUCAUCCUUCAAGGUCAAAGGUCAAAUAUAUGGGUGGGACCUAGUGUUUCACAAACAUAUCUUGUUUAGUAUAGACUUCAACAUAUCUUGGACAAUACAAUUUAAGAGCAAUUAAGAGGUUGAUGGUUCCACCCCUUUGCUUUUCUGUUGCUGAAAUGGUGUUAGUACAUACACCAAUCAAUUGUUAUUACACCGAUUUACCCUGUUAAUUUUUUUUUGUGUGUAUGGUGUCGCUUUGCUUCAGCUUGUUUUUGUGAUACUGUAGAUGUUGUUGAGUACUGAAAGGUAAUUAGUAAGGUAUGUAAAACUUAGCUUAACACUUAUGGACAAUGUUUUUGCAUAGUUUAAAUUGUAUGUAUGUUGAGUCAUGUUAUUAAUUGCUUGCAAUAAUUUUAUAUUGUGAAUCAAUGUAUGAAAAAUAAACCUGAAUGAAAUGAAAAUCA